RNAcentral lists this ribosomal RNA (535 nucleotides) under uncultured Glomus. Its description in RNAcentral is "SSU rRNA". It matches the Rfam family "Eukaryotic small subunit ribosomal RNA", at positions 555 to 1093 of the family's 1831-position model. The record is from RNAcentral. Lineage: Eukaryota; Fungi; Glomeromycota; Glomeromycetes; Glomerales; Glomeraceae.
CGAAGUCUGGUGCCAGCAGCCGCGGUAAUCCAGCUCCAAUAGCGUAUAUUAAAGUUGUUGCAGUUAAAAAGCUCGUAGUUGAAUUUCGGGACUAAUAUGUCGGUCGUACUUUGUACGUACUAGCAUUAUUGGUUUCUCCCUUCUGACGAACCACGAUGUCAUUAAUUUGGUGUCGCGGGAAAUCAGGACUGUUACUUUGAAAAAAUUAGAGUGUUUAAAGCAAGCUCGCGCUUGAAUACAUUAGCAUGGAAUAAUGAAAUAGGACGUUUGAUUCUAUUUUGUUGGUUUCUAGGAUCGACGUAAUGAUUAAUAGGGAUAGUUGGGGGCAUUAGUAUUCAAUUGUCAGAGGUGAAAUUCUUGGAUUUAUUGAAGACUAACUACUGCGAAAGCAUUUGCCAAGGAUGUUUUCAUUAAUCAAGAACGAAAGUUAGGGGGAUCGAAGACGAUCAGAUACCGUCGUAGUCUUAACCAUAAACUAUGCCGACUAGGGAUCGGAUGAUGUUAAUUUUUUAAUGACUCAUUCGGCGCCCUUACG